GGUGAGAUGGCCGAGCGGUCCAAGGCGCCAGACUAAGGUUACAAAGCUGGCUGCAUGAUGCAUUCAUACCAAUCUGGUCCCUCCGGGGGCAUGGGUUCGAAUCCCAUUCUCAUCA
Non-coding RNA from Lyophyllum atratum, 115 nucleotides. The record is from the annotation of a GenBank genome assembly. Lineage: Eukaryota; Fungi; Basidiomycota; Agaricomycetes; Agaricales; Lyophyllaceae.